CUAAAGAUCUUUCCAUCCAACCAGCAAGACAGACAGUUCAAAGAAUUCAGACUGGUUGACUUCUAUUGUGGCCAGGCAGCUUGGGCCAAAGGUUGAAAGCAGAACUGAAUGUAAACUCCAGUGGAAUAAAGAUUUCAUCUGUCUUGUCUCCCCUCUGUCCUCAGCAGUGAGACAGUGACAAAUCUAUGAUGGAAGAUAUCAGAAAAUCAGACCUACUCUGAAUGAUCCAGGACAUCAUCAUGAACAAUGGUUAUUAUAUUGGACUUUAAUCCAGAUCAACUGCAACACAAACCAUUGUGAUUGUUGAAUUUUUGGCUCUGCAUUUUAUGGCUUUUCUCUCUUCAUUUUGUCCAGAUUAUCACCUCUUUCUUUCUGUCAUCAAAGACCUAUAACAAUCAUUCUCCUACUCUUUAUUUAAAAGUUUGAUAAAAUUGGAUAGUUGAGCUUUGGAGAGAUUAAUAUGAAAUACAAGGCUGUGCCUGAGAAAUAAGGGACUGUCUUGGCUAUGUAAGUGUUAAAACAUCCUUGGUGGCAUUUAUUUAACUUAAUUUAACAAUUUUUUCUGUCCCUAGUUUGUAGAGGACAAAUUAGGGGUAUUUUGGUUGCAAGCAACAGAAACUAAGGUUGGUUAUCUAAAGAGAAAAUGAGACUUUUUUGAGCCCUGUGCGGGCACUCAUAGAAUGGAAAGGAUUGUAUAUUACCAAGGACCUAUAGUUUACACAAAGAAAUUAGGUUAAAAAUAGUUUAGUACUCUGAGAACUAUAAGACAUCAUAGAUAAAAGAAAUUGAAGAUGACACAAAUAAAUGGAAAGAUAUGCCAUGCUCAUGGAUGGAAGAAUUAAUAUUGUUAAA
Molecule: long non-coding RNA, 852 nt
Organism: Manis javanica (Malayan pangolin)
Lineage: Eukaryota; Metazoa; Chordata; Mammalia; Pholidota; Manidae
Source: RefSeq, a predicted model, not a curated record